GUCCUCAUUUUCACUUUCUGUUUCUCACACCAGAGAAACAAUGUGGUAUUUAAACAUGAAUCAAUACCUAUACCUGAAGAGGAAUCAAAUCAAUAAUGUCUUUCAGGAGAACAAUAACAAGAACUUGAUUCUCUAUUUGAUGAAGAGAUGGAAUAAAUGGAUGAAAAAACACAUUUACUGAUUGGUCUGAUAAAGGUUGAGAUUAUGAAAUUGAUGACCGGGAUUUAAACAGGACUUUGAUUGUAACUCAGACACCUUAUAUGAGAAAACUUCUGGAGGAGACUGAAUAGGAAACCACAUGUCUUAGACAAAACUUACAUGAGAAGUUGUUGAAGUUAAUAAUGGCUCAUAUUACUAUGAGGAGGAUCUAUGGAUGGAUGGAAGAUGAAAAACACAGCCAUAAAGGGAUCCAGCUCAGGACCUUGCCCUUGAACAGCAGGUGCUGGAACCACUGAGCUAAAUCCCUGGCCCCUUAACAUGUAAAUCUUACAUCUGCAUUGCUGGUGUGUAUAAUAUACAUUUGCAACUGCU
Heterocephalus glaber (naked mole-rat) is the source of this 531-nucleotide long non-coding RNA. The record is from Ensembl. NCBI's taxonomy places the organism in Eukaryota, Metazoa, Chordata, Mammalia, Rodentia, Bathyergidae.